UUACAGUUUCCUGUUUCCUUCUUGAUCCUUCACAAGGGAAGAUUUUCUUUUUUAGAGGUACAGAUUCCUCUUAGUCAAGUCCUGAUUAAAACUCCAGCUAAGACAUUAGUAAGCCUUGGUUAGUGAAGUGGCAUCAGGAAGUGCCUACAUUUUCAUGGCCUGGUAGCGUUCAGUGAAAAUGUUCAUUAACAGACACAGGCCAUUCAGUCCCGAAUCCCAAGACACUGAAGACUCUGUUUGAAUCAGACUCACGGGUUCCUUCCUAGCCACUCUCAGGGACAGGAAUGCUUCUGGUGAAGAAGUUUUCGGUGGUGGUUCAUGGAGCUUCCCUACACCAACUUGGAAAUGGCAUUCAUUUUAUUGGCUUUUGUUAUCUUUUCCUUAUUUACCCUGGCUUCCAUCUACACUACUCCGGAUGACAGUAAUGAAGAGGAAGAACAUGAAAAAAAGGGAAGGGAAAAGAAAAGGAAAAAGUCUGAAAAGAAGAAAAAUUGCUCAGAGGAAGAGCACAGAAUUGAAGCUGUUGAGCUAUGAUCUCAUAGCCACCGAUAUUUCUCGCUAAGAAGACAGAGGAAGCAAUCCAUGGGAACUACUUAUCCACAGUUACACAAGAGGAGGGGAUAAUGAAGAAAGUUAAAAUCACUUACUGAUUAAACACGAUGAUAAUAACCAUUAAUGAACUCAAUACUCGGGAAAGGCUUCACAUUUCUGGGACUCAGCAUUAUCCAAAAUAUCUAUUAAGAGCCAUACACCAUUCUAGCUGCAAUUGAUUAUACAAAAAAAAAAAGACCAAAGUGGUUACAAUAAUAAAAUAGAACACAGAGAAAGAAGAAAACUACAUGUGUUACAAUUUGGUAAGAUAAACAAACAAACAAAAAAUUUAAUCACUUUUUUUGGUCCUGCGACACACAUGAUAAUUUUUGUCUUAAUUCUCCUAACAAAUGAUAAUGAAAAGCUAUAAGUAACUGUGUUAUUGCUUCCGUAUCUGAAAUAGGUGAAAGAGGGAAAAAACACUAUAUAUUUUUUCAGCUUUACAGAAGAAAUUUUGAAAGGUUUACAUUCAAUGGAAAUAUUAGCAUUGCCUCAGUAAGCUUUAAAACACAAAUGUCUACGUUUUCUGAAGCAAUAUGGUUUACAGAGACAUGAGUGUUUGUAAAUCUCUCGUCCCAAUACUAUGUAAAUCCUUAAUGUGUAAGCAUCCAGGAACUCUAAGUCCUUGUGGAAAAAGAUAUUAAAGUACAAGGAAAAGACCAUAAGUCUUGCAGGAAGUAAAAACAUGAAGAGAAAAAUGUGGAGAGACAAGUAAACUGCGUUUUUCCGCAGUCUCAGAAUUUAUCCCGCUCUGUGUAACCCAGAAGUGACUGUGAAGGCGCAACCUGUGUAUGUAGCCUGGACCCCACAUGCUCUGCUACUGAGCUUGAGUCAUUAAUCUUCUGGCCACCGAUUUUUCUCUCAAAAAUUACAUGAGCUUCCUCCAUCAAUAAAUAUCUUCAGUGCUCUAUCCAUUAAUUUCCCAUCCACUGAAUAAAGGUUACAACAACUAUUCAUGAGGUUAGGUUUGUUUAAAAAUACAGUUUACAUCAAUUAAGUGGGGUACAUUAGGGAAUUAGAAGGAGAACAGAGAAGGCAGCAGUGAGUGCUUCCAACCCAACUUCAGGGGCUGGGACAAGGUGAAAUUACAGAGAUCACAAACUGAAGAUACUAAACAGGAAUGAAAGGGGCUGGUCUCACAUGUAUCACAGCCUACCAUUUCCAGAGACACAGCUCUCAGGUUCCAAAGGGACUAGUUGACAUCAAUUGCAAGAUGGUUUUCUAGAUCCCACAGCCUUUCUCAACAACAGUUUACAAGAGAAUUAGCCAUACAAAAAAUUAUUUGAGUGACUGUUUUUUCAAUUUUCUGAAGGGUUGUGCAUAACUAGUACUAUUCUAAUUGCACAGGAGAGAAAUUAACUCAUAACAUUAAUGCCUUAGGGUAGGUGUUGACAAACUAAGAACAUAGCUGCCCACCCGUUUUUGUAAAAUUUUUUUUGUAUUUUUAUUUGUUUAUUUAUUUUAUUUUGAGUGGAGUCUCGCUCUUUUGCCCAGGAUGGAGUGCAGUGGCACAAUCUUGGCUCACUGCAACCUCUGCCUCAUGGGUUCAAGCAAUCCUCUCACCUCAGCCUCCCAAGUAGCUGGGAUUGCAAGCGUGCACCACCACACGUGGCUAGUUUUUGUAUUUUUUGUAGAGGCGAAGUUUCACCAUGUUGGCCAGGCUGGUCUUGAACACCUGACCUCAAGUAAUCCACCCACUUCGGCCUCCCAAAGUGCUGGGAUUACAGGUGUGAGCCACCGCACCCGGCCCCAUUUUUGUAAAUAUGGUUUUUUGGUAACACAGUCAUGCUCAUUCAUUUUUUGUAUUGACUAUGACUGUUUUGAAGCUAUAAUGGUAGAACUGAGUAGAUACAGAUAUGUCAUUGCUUACAAUUGCAUAUAAACUUUGGAAGAGUAAACAAGAAAUUGGUAGCAUUAUUUGUUCCUAAUGAGGAGAACUAAGGGUCUGUGAACAAUUGCGGGAAGGAGACCUUUCCAUAUACAGCCUUUGGGCAUAAGCAACCAUGCCCAACCCCAAGUCUCUUCAUAAAGGAAAAUAUUAAUAAUUUGUCUUGGUUGAAUGUAUGUUAAAUGGAACAAAAUUGAUUCCUUUAAAAAAUUAUAGCCGGCAGCAGUGACUCACGACCAUGGGCCCAGCACUUGGGAGGCCCAGACGGGUGGAUCACUUGAGUCCAGGAGACCGGCCUGGGCAGCCUGUAGAAACUCUAUGAAAAAUAAAAAAGUUAGCCGGUGAUUUGCACCUGUGGUCCCGGCUGCUAGUAGGGAGGUGGGGGGCAGUGCUGAGGUGGGAGGAUUGCUUGAGCUCAGAAGGUGGAGGUUGCAGUGAGCCAUGAUCUUGCUCCACUGCACUCCAGCCUGGGUGACCGAGUGAGACCCUUCUCAAAAAAUAAAAUAAAAUAAAAUAAAAAUUAUAAACAAGGAAAAGUCUUAGUUCAUAGAUGAAAUGAUUAGACCUUCUUCUCUGGAGUAAUAGAAAUCGGUCCUUUCUGGAUGAGAACCAGCAUCUUUGCAGCCUUAAGCCACCUGAAGCUUAGUUGGCAUGAGAACGUAGUUAGAAAACUCCUCUUUAUUACUGAGAAGCAAAUUCCAGAGGUUCAUCUGCCAGGACUAACUUGGAUCUGAGGGGUAGAUACCUUUGCUCAAAAAUGCAAAUCUUCAGAGCUCGCGGAAGUGGAAGAAUAACUACAUAGGCAAAGAAAAUGCCAUCUCUGUCUCCGCGAGCUUCCUCUAGCAGGCCGGGAUUUUUCAUGGUCAGCCUGUUUGA
RNAcentral lists this long non-coding RNA (3355 nucleotides) under Homo sapiens (human). RNAcentral describes it as "HSALNT0080365". Lineage: Eukaryota; Metazoa; Chordata; Mammalia; Primates; Hominidae. The record is from RNAcentral.